RNAcentral lists this long non-coding RNA (332 nucleotides) under Zostera marina. RNAcentral describes it as "long non-coding RNA (ZMAR_LNC004183)". The record is from RNAcentral. Lineage: Eukaryota; Viridiplantae; Streptophyta; Magnoliopsida; Alismatales; Zosteraceae.
CAAUGGUAACCGAAACUAGUCCACCAACAGGUUCUUUUCUCUUCUGUUCUAUCGGCAAGGUAAGACAUCCACGACGAGGUUCUACCAUUUGUUUAUUCACUGUGUCGGUGAACAGCUUCGUCUGUAUACACAUACAAAAUGAGCUGUUGGUAAAACACAAAUUCUUACGAUUUAAAGAAAAAACAUACAAGAAAACUCGAAACUCCGGGAAGUCCAUUUGCAGGCAUCGAUUGGCUUCCACCGCUUCCGAAAGAAACCUCCACUCCUAGCUCCGGAGUGCAUUCAAAUGAAUAAAGUAGAGCUUGCCCAUCCAAGAUGGGCAUCAGGAGUAA